AUUCAAAUAGCUUAUAUUAGAGCGUGACACUGAAGAUGUUAAAGAGACUGCUAAGUCUUUGAAUA
This 65-nucleotide transfer RNA is filed under the name Isocapnia anguis. RNAcentral describes it as "tRNA-Phe". Lineage: Eukaryota; Metazoa; Arthropoda; Insecta; Plecoptera; Capniidae. The record is from RNAcentral.